GACGAACGCUGGCGGCGUGCCUAAUACAUGCAAGUAGAACGCUGAAGGAGGAGCUUGCUUCUCUGGAUGAGUUGCGAACGGGUGAGUAACGCGUAGGUAACCUGCCUGGUAGCGGGGGAUAACUAUUGGAAACGAUAGCUAAUACCGCAUAAUAGUAGAUGUUGCAUGACAUUUGCUUAAAAGGUGCAAUUGCAUCACUACCAGAUGGACCUGCGUUGUAUUAGCUAGUUGGUGGGGUAACGGCUCACCAAGGCGACGAUACAUAGCCGACCUGAGAGGGUGAUCGGCCACACUGGGACUGAGACACGGCCCAGACUCCUACGGGAGGCAGCAGUAGGGAAUCUUCGGCAAUGGACGGAAGUCUGACCGAGCAACGCCGCGUGAGUGAAGAAGGUUUUCGGAUCGUAAAGCUCUGUUGUAAGAGAAGAACGAGUGUGAGAGUGGAAAGUUCACACUGUGACGGUAGCUUACCAGAAAGAGACGGCUAACUACGUG
RNAcentral lists this ribosomal RNA (495 nucleotides) under uncultured bacterium. RNAcentral's name for it is "partial 16S ribosomal RNA". It matches the Rfam family "Bacterial small subunit ribosomal RNA", at positions 28 to 507 of the family's 1533-position model. The record is from RNAcentral.